Zingiber officinale is the source of this 417-nucleotide long non-coding RNA. RefSeq lists it as uncharacterized. The transcript has 3 exons. NCBI's taxonomy places the organism in Eukaryota, Viridiplantae, Streptophyta, Magnoliopsida, Zingiberales, Zingiberaceae. The record is from RefSeq and is a predicted model, not a curated record.
GGAAGUUACAAAGGCAAGGAAUUUAGUGGCAAAAUUGAGUUGGAGUGCAAGGAUGAUGCACUGGAUUAAUAGAAAGCUUUUCCUCUACAAGGUCACAUUUGGAUUGUAUGUUCUAGAAUGGUGGGAGCAUUGUCUCUUCAACUUAAUACUACUUAUCUUUGUUUGGUUCAUCUUCUAUUUGAGUAUCAACUUAUCACCAACUUAUAUCUCAGUUAUUUGAAGUCCACAAUAAUUCUCAAGAAAUUUAUAGAUGCUACAGACAAUAUAUAUGAACAAAUGGUUUGCCGUGUUGUUUAGGCAAUAAUUUUCUAGAUAUAAAAUAAGCCGGUUUAUGUUAGUAGAUUAUUUUUUUUUUUUUGUUGUAAUUCACAUUUGCAAAAUAUUUUAAAUGUGGAAAGACAUGUUAAUUGCUGUUGU